Molecule: long non-coding RNA, 1025 nt
Organism: Brassica oleracea var. oleracea
Lineage: Eukaryota; Viridiplantae; Streptophyta; Magnoliopsida; Brassicales; Brassicaceae
Exons: 7
Source: RefSeq, a predicted model, not a curated record
UUCAUCGCCGGCUAGUACGAGCACGGCGAGGGAGCAAAUCCUGAACAGCUGCAACGAUAUCUUGAACGCUCACUACGAUCGAAUGCCCAAUGGAUAUGAAUCCGAAGUGACUAAUCCUCAAGAUGUACUCAACGCCUCCGACUUCUGAAACGAGCAGAAGAAUCUCGUAUGCUUGCGCAUGAGAUAUGGCCAGGAGAAAAACAGGAAGCUCCAACUUUCAAAAUCGCCGUUGCUAGCGUCUACGAGUCAGACCUUCACGAUGAGCUUAAAGCCACCAUCUCUGACAAAGGAAUGGAGAUUCUGUUUGGGGAUACGUUUAGAACGAGGGAUGGGUACUACGCCUUAGACUUGUUUCGGGUUAUUGCUUAUCAUGACCUUGAAGAAUUCUCAAAUGUGCUUAAAGCUGCAAUCACUGAUAUUGAGAAAGCAAAUACAUUGACUUGGGGGGUCUAGUUAUUGGAGAAAACAUCUCUUCUCAUGUGUAUCAAGGUACACUCCAUUCUAAAGAAGUUUGUGUAAGAGAGUUGCAAACCGAUCCAAGCCUUUGGCAACCAUCACGGUUUUGGAAAAAAAAUGAAACUGUUCAGUGGACUUGGUCAUCCCAACGUGGUACGAUGUCUUGGUGCCAACACACAAGGCACCGAUUUGAAAAUAAUCACAGAGUACAUGCAUGGUGGAACCCUCUUUGACUACUUGCAACGAAAUCAUUGUGUUUUGACUCUCUCUCAACGGUUUAAGAUGGCCAUUGAUGUGUGUAAAGGAAUCGAGUUCCUGCAUGCGAACAUGAUCAUACAUAGAAAUCUGAACUCUAUGAAUCUUCUCUUGGAUGAGAAUAAUGCAAGGGAAGUGAAUAAUUGAGUUUUCAACACUUUUUCAUAAUCUAAAGCAUUCUCCUAUGUCUUCCAUUUUAUCUAAGGUUGUCAAGGUUGAUGUUGCUGCUGCUAUGUACCUCUUGUGGGCUGGGAAGAAUACCACCCCUGAACUGGAAGCUAUGUUGUUGAGUCUUCCAACCCCUGAGCAGAAUA